ACAGUGGACGCGAGCAUCUGUGGCCAAGUUUUUAAGGGCGCACGGUGGAUGCCUUGGCACCAGGAACCGAUGAAGGACGUGGGAGGCCGCGAUAGGCCCCGGGGAGUCGUCAACCAGGCUUUGAUCCGGGGGUGUCCGAAUGGGGAAACCCGGCAGUCGUCAUGGGCUGUCACCCGCUGCUGAACACAUAGGCAGUGUGGAGGGAACGCGGGGAAGUGAAACAUCUCAGUACCCGCAGGAAGAGAAAACAACCGUGAUUCCGGGAGUAGUGGCGAGCGAAACCGGAUGAGGCCAAACCUACGACGUGUGAGACCCGGCAGGGGUUGCGUCGUGGGGGUUGUGGGAUCUCUCUUCUACGGUCUGCCGGCCGUAGGGCGAGUCAGAAACCGUUGAUGUAGACGAAGGACAUGCGAAAGGUCCGGCGUAGAGGGUAAGACCCCCGUAGUCGAAAUGUCAGCGGCUUGCUUGAGAGACACCCAAGUAGCACGGGGCCCGAGAAAUCCCGUGUGAAUCUGGCGGGACCACCCGCUAAGCCUAAAUAUUCCCUGGUGACCGAUAGCGGAUAGUACCGUGAGGGAAUGGUGAAAAGUACCCCGGGAGGGGAGUGAAAUAGUACCUGAAACCGUGUGCCUACAAGCCGUGGGAGCGUCGCGCAAGGACUUGUCCUUGCGUCGUGACUGCGUGCCUUUUGAAGAAUGAGCCUGCGAGUUUGCGGUGUGUUGCGAGGUUAACCCGGGUGGGGUAGCCGUAGCGAAAGCGAGUCCGAAUAGGGCGUUUGAGUAGCACGCUCAAGACCCGAAGCGGAGUGAUCUAGCCAUGGGCAGGUUGAAGCGGAGGUAAGACUUCGUGGAGGACCGAACCCACCAGGGUUGAAAACCUGGGGGAUGACCUGUGGUUAGGGGUGAAAGGCCAAUCAAACUCCGUGAUAGCUGGUUCUCCCCGAAAUGCAUUUAGGUGCAGCGUCGUGUGUUUCUUGCCGGAGGUAGAGCACUGGAUAGGCGAUGGGCCCUACCGGGUUACUGACCUUAGCCAAACUCCGAAUGCCGGUAAGUGAGAGCGCGGCAGUGAGACUGUGGGGGAUAAGCUCCAUGGUCGAGAGGGAAACAGCCCAGAGCAUCGACUAAGGCCCCUAAGCGUACGCUAAGUGGGAAAGGAUGUGGAGUCGCAGAGACAACCAGGAGGUUGGCUUAGAAGCAGCCACCCUUGAAAGAGUGCGUAAUAGCUCACUGGUCUAGUGAUUCCGCGCCG
This 1248-nucleotide ribosomal RNA is filed under the name Streptomyces griseicoloratus. RNAcentral's name for it is "Streptomyces sp. TRM S81-3 partial 23S ribosomal RNA". It matches the Rfam family "Bacterial large subunit ribosomal RNA", at positions 1 to 1166 of the family's 2925-position model. The record is from RNAcentral. Lineage: Bacteria; Bacillati; Actinomycetota; Actinomycetes; Kitasatosporales; Streptomycetaceae.